This 518-nucleotide ribosomal RNA is filed under the name uncultured bacterium. RNAcentral describes it as "bacterial SSU rRNA". It matches the Rfam family "Bacterial small subunit ribosomal RNA", at positions 10 to 523 of the family's 1533-position model. The record is from RNAcentral.
AGUUUGAUCCUGGCUCAGAUUGAACGCUGGCGGCAGGCCUAACACAUGCAAGUCGAGCGGUUGACGGGAGCUUGCUCCCUGAUUCAGCGGCGGACGGGUGAGUAAUGCCUAGGAAUCUGCCUAUUGGUGGGGGACAACGUUUCGAAAGGAACGCUAAUACCGCAUACGUCCUACGGGAGAAAGCAGGGGACCUUCGGGCCUUGCGCUAAUAGAUGAGCCUAGGUCGGAUUAGCUAGUUGGUGAGGUAAUGGCUCACCAAGGCGACGAUCCGUAACUGGUCUGAGAGGAUGAUCAGUCACACUGGAACUGAGACACGGUCCAGACUCCUACGGGAGGCAGCAGUGGGGAAUAUUGGACAAUGGGCGAAAGCCUGAUCCAGCCAUGCCGCGUGUGUGAAGAAGGUCUUCGGAUUGUAAAGCACUUUAAGUUGGGAGGAAGGGUUGUAGAUUAAUACUCUGCAAUUUUGACGUUACCGACAGAAUAAGCACCGGCUAACUCUGUGCCAGCAGCCGCGGUAA